Molecule: ribosomal RNA, 309 nt
Filed under: uncultured eukaryote
Lineage: Eukaryota
Description: partial large subunit ribosomal RNA
Rfam family: Eukaryotic large subunit ribosomal RNA
Source: RNAcentral
AUAUUAUUAAGCGGAGGAAAAGAAACUAACCAGGAUUCCUUUAGUAACGGCGAGUGAAGCGGCAAAAGCCCAAACUGGAAAGCUCUGCCUGCGGGUAGCGCGUUGUAAACUAGAGGACUUAUUCUCACCGGCGAAAGUCGCAGAAGUGACCUAGAAUGGUACGCCAAAGAGGGUGACAGCCCCGUAUGUGGUGACAUUCGCUAACGAGAAGGGUUCAAGGAGUCGGGUUGUUUGGAAAUGCAGCCCUAAUUCGGGAGAUAGACUUCUUCCAAGGCUAAAUAUUUAUGGGAGACCGAUAGCGCACAAGUA